UAAACUAGGAUUAGAUACCCUAUUAUAUAUAUAUGUUAAAUAUUUUACCUGAGUAGUAUUAGUUAUUUUCUUAAAACUUGAAGGAUUUGGCGGUAUUUUAGUCUAUUUAGAGGAAUUUGCCCCGUUAUCGAUAAUCCCCGUUAUAUCUUGCUUAUUUCUUGUUAUCAGUAUGUAUACCGCUGUUAUAAGUUUAUUUUAUUAGAAUUAUAAUUUACUUUAUUUAUUAUUAUAAAUUAUUUCAAGUCAAGGUGCA
This 253-nucleotide ribosomal RNA is filed under the name Sipyloidea sipylus. RNAcentral describes it as "partial 12S ribosomal RNA". The record is from RNAcentral. Lineage: Eukaryota; Metazoa; Arthropoda; Insecta; Phasmatodea; Lonchodidae.